AUUGAACGCUGGCGGCAGGCCUAACACAUGCAAGUCGAACGGUAGCACAGAGAGCUUGCUCUCGGGUGACGAGUGGCGGACGGGUGAGUAAUGUCUGGGAAACUGCCCGAUGGAGGGGGAUAACUACUGGAAACGGUAGCUAAUAACGCACAACGUCGCAAAACCAAAGUGGGGGACCUCCGGGCCUCACACCAUCGGAUGUGCCCAGAUGGGAUUAGCUAGUAGGUGGGGUAAUGGCUGACCUAGGCGACGAUCCCUAGCUGGUCUGAGAGGAUGACCAGCCACACUGGAACUGAGACACGGUCCAGACUCCUACGGGAGGCAGCAGUGGGGAAUAUUGCACAAUGGGCGCAAGCCUGAUGCAGCCAUGCCGCGUGUAUGAAGAAGGCCUUCGGGUUGUAAAGUACUUUCAGCGGGGAGGAAGGCGGUGAAGUUAAUAACUUCACCGAUUGACGUUACCCGCAGAAGAAGCACCGGCUAACUCCGUGCCAGCAGCCGCCGCGG
RNAcentral lists this ribosomal RNA (504 nucleotides) under uncultured bacterium. RNAcentral describes it as "partial 16S ribosomal RNA". It matches the Rfam family "Bacterial small subunit ribosomal RNA", at positions 29 to 523 of the family's 1533-position model. The record is from RNAcentral.